GUGCAAGAACGAAGCAACCUGUCAGUCAGGUUUUACUUCUUCACGAUAUCGCUGCUUAUGUCCUCCUGGAAUUACUGGCCACAACUGUGAACAUGUCAUAGAUAAGUGUGACAGCAAUCCAUGUCAGAACCAAGGGAACUGUACAGACGGUAAAUGCCAAUGUCAGCCUGGAUUCUCAGGAGAACACUGCGAGAUAGACAUAGAUAAGUGUAAGAGCAAUCCAUGUCUGAACGAUGGGACCUGUACAGACGGUAAAUGCCAAUGUCAGUCUGGAUUUUCC
Long non-coding RNA from Stylophora pistillata, 280 nucleotides. Lineage: Eukaryota; Metazoa; Cnidaria; Anthozoa; Scleractinia; Pocilloporidae. The record is from RefSeq and is a predicted model, not a curated record.